GGGUUGUGAGGUUAAGCGACUAAGCGUACACGGUGGAUGCCCUGGCAGUCAGAGGCGAUGAAGGGCGUGCUAAUCUGCGAUAAGCGCCGGUAAGGUGAUAUGAACCGUUAUAACCGGCGAUACCCGAAUGGGGAAACCCAGUGUGACUCGUCACACUAUCAUUAACUGAAUCCAUAGGUUAAUGAGGCGAACCGGGGGAACUGAAACAUCUAAGUACCCCGAGGAAAAGAAAUCAACCGAGAUUCCCCCAGUAGCGGCGAGCGAACGGGGAGGAGCCCAGAGCCUGAAUCAGCAUGUGUGUUAGUGGAAGCGUCUGGAAAGGCGCGCGAUACAGGGUGACAGCCCCGUACACAAAAGCGCAUGUGCUGUGAGCUCGAUGAGUAGGGCGGGACACGUGGUAUCCUGUCUGAAUAUGGGGGGACCAUCCUCCAAGGCUAAAUACUCCUGACUGACCGAUAGUGAACCAGUACCGUGAGGGAAAGGCGAAAAGAACCCCGGCGAGGGGAGUGAAAAAGAACCUGAAACCGUGUACGUACAAGCAGUGGGAGNNNNNNNNNNNNNNNNNNNNUGCGUACCUUUUGUAUAAUGGGUCAGCGACUUAUAUUCUGUAGCAAGGUUAACCGAAUAGGGGAGCCGGAGGGAAACCGAGUCUUAAUUGGGCGUUAAGUUGCAGGGUAUAGACCCGAAACCCGGUGAUCUAGCCAUGGGCAGGUUGAAGGUUGGGUAACACUAACUGGAGGACCGAACCGACUAAUGUUGAAAAAUUAGCGGAUGACCUGUGGCUGGGGGUGAAAGGCCAAUCAAACCGGGAGAUAGCUGGUUCUCCCCGAAAGCUAUUUAGGUAGCGCCUCGUGAAUUCAUCUCCGGGGGUAGAGCACUGUUUCGGCUAGGGGGCCAUCCCGGCUUACCAACCCGAUGCAAACUGCGAAUACCGGAGAAUGUUAUCACGGGAGACACACGGCGGGUGCUAACGUCCGUCGUGAAGAGGGAAACAACCCAGACCGCCAGCUAAGGUCCCAAAGUCAUGGUUAAGUGGGAAACGAUGUGGGAAGGCCCAGACAGCCAGGAUGUUGGCUUAGAAGCAGCCAUCAUUUAAAGAAAGCGUAAUAGCUCACUGGUCGAGUCGGCCUGCGCGGAAGAUGUAACGGGGCUAAACCAUGCACCGAAGCUGCGGCAGCGACACUGUGUGUUGUUGGGUAGGGGAGCGUUCUGUAAGCCUGCGAAGGUGGCCUGUGAGGGUUGCUGGAGGUAUCAGAAGUGCGAAUGCUGACAUAAGUAACGAUAAAGCGGGUGAAAAGCCCGCUCGCCGGAAGACCAAGGGUUCCUGUCCAACGUUAAUCGGGGCAGGGUGAGUCGACCCCUAAGGCGAGGCCGAAAGGCGUAGUCGAUGGGAAACGGGUUAAUAUUCCCGUACUUGGUGUUACUGCGAAGGGGGGACGGAGAAGGCUAUGUUGGCCGGGCGACGGUUGUCCCGGUUUAAGCGUGUAGGUGUGUGUUCCAGGUAAAUCCGGUUCACUUUAACACUGAGGCGUGACGACGAGGCACUACGGUGCUGAAGCAACAAAUGCCCUGCUUCCAGGAAAAGCCUCUAAGCAUCAGGUAACAUCAAAUCGUACCCCAAACCGACACAGGUGGUCAGGUAGAGAAUACCAAGGCGCUUGAGAGAACUCGGGUGAAGGAACUAGGCAAAAUGGUGCCGUAACUUCGGGAGAAGGCACGCUGACACGUAGGUGAAGUGAUUUACUCAUGGAGCUGAAGUCAGUCGAAGAUACCAGCUGGCUGCAACUGUUUAUUAAAAACACAGCACUGUGCAAACACGAAAGUGGACGUAUACGGUGUGACGCCUGCCCGGUGCCGGAAGGUUAAUUGAUGGGGUCAGCGCAAGCGAAGCUCCUGAUCGAAGCCCCGGUAAACGGCGGCCGUAACUAUAACGGUCCUAAGGUAGCGAAAUUCCUUGUCGGGUAAGUUCCGACCUGCACGAAUGGCGUAAUGAUGGCCAGGCUGUCUCCACCCGAGACUCAGUGAAAUUGAACUCGCUGUGAAGAUGCAGUGUACCCGCGGCAAGACGGAAAGACCCCGUGAACCUUUACUAUAGCUUGACACUGAACAUUGAGCCUUGAUGUGUAGGAUAGGUGGGAGGCUUUGAAGUGUGGACGCCAGUCUGCAUGGAGCCGACCUUGAAAUACCACCCUUUAAUGUUUGAUGUUCUAACGUGGACCCGUUACCCGGGUUGCGGACAGUGUCUGGUGGGUAGUUUGACUGGGGCGGUCUCCUCCUAAAGAGUAACGGAGGAGCACGAAGGUUGGCUAAUCCUGGUCGGACAUCAGGAGGUUAGUGCAAUGGCAUAAGCCAGCUUGACUGCGAGCGUGACGGCGCGAGCAGGUGCGAAAGCAGGUCAUAGUGAUCCGGUGGUUCUGAAUGGAAGGGCCAUCGCUCAACGGAUAAAAGGUACUCCGGGGAUAACAGGCUGAUACCGCCCAAGAGUUCAUAUCGACGGCGGUGUUUGGCACCUCGAUGUCGGCUCAUCACAUCCUGGGGCUGAAGUAGGUCCCAAGGGUAUGGCUGUUCGCCAUUUAAAGUGGUACGCGAGCUGGGUUUAGAACGUCGUGAGACAGUUCGGUCCCUAUCUGCCGUGGGCGCUGGAGAACUGAGGGGGGCUGCUCCUAGUACGAGAGGACCGGAGUGGACGCAUCACUGGUGUUCGGGUUGUCAUGCCAAUGGCACUGCCCGGUAGCUAAAUGCGGAAGAGAUAAGUGCUGAAAGCAUCUAAGCACGAAACUUGCCCCGAGAUGAGUUCUCCCUGAGACUUAAAGUCUCCUGAAGGAACGUUGAAGACGACGACGUUGAUAGGCCGGGUGUGUAAGCGCAGCGAUGCGUUGAGCUAACCGGUACUAAUGAACCGUGAGGCUUAACCUUACAACGCCGAAG
RNAcentral lists this ribosomal RNA (2928 nucleotides) under Salmonella enterica subsp. enterica serovar Enteritidis str. SA20093977. Its description in RNAcentral is "bacterial LSU rRNA". It matches the Rfam family "Bacterial large subunit ribosomal RNA". Lineage: Bacteria; Pseudomonadati; Pseudomonadota; Gammaproteobacteria; Enterobacterales; Enterobacteriaceae. The record is from RNAcentral.